RNAcentral lists this ribosomal RNA (402 nucleotides) under bacterium. RNAcentral describes it as "partial 16S ribosomal RNA". It matches the Rfam family "Bacterial small subunit ribosomal RNA", at positions 355 to 776 of the family's 1533-position model. The record is from RNAcentral.
UGGGGAAUUUUGCACAAUGGGGGAAACCCUGAUGCAGCGACGCCGCGUGAUUUAGAAGGCCUUCGGGUUGUAAAAAUCUUUUUUACGGGAUGAAAAUGACAGUACCGUAAGAAUAAGGUCCGGCUAAAUACGUGCCAGCAGCCGCGGUAAUACGUAUGGACCGAGCGUUGUCCGGAAUCAUUGGGCGUAAAGGGUACGUAGGCGGCCUAGUAAGUUAGAAGUGAAAUAAUAUAGCUCAACUAUAUAAAGCUUUUAAAACUGCUAGGCUUGAGAAAUGGAAGGGAAAGUGGAAUUCCUAGUGUAGCGGUGAAAUGCGCAGAUAUUAGGAAGAAUACCGGUGGCGAAGGCGACUUUCUGGUCAUCAUCUGACGCUGAGGUACGAAAGCGUGGGUAGCAAACAGG